UGUAAAGACCAACGAUAAGAGUCACUUC
This 28-nucleotide non-coding RNA is filed under the name Mus musculus (house mouse). Lineage: Eukaryota; Metazoa; Chordata; Mammalia; Rodentia; Muridae. The record is from RNAcentral.